This 258-nucleotide ribosomal RNA is filed under the name Lacticaseibacillus paracasei. Its description in RNAcentral is "partial 16S ribosomal RNA". It matches the Rfam family "Bacterial small subunit ribosomal RNA", at positions 341 to 591 of the family's 1533-position model. Lineage: Bacteria; Bacillati; Bacillota; Bacilli; Lactobacillales; Lactobacillaceae. The record is from RNAcentral.
ACGGGAGGCAGCAGUAGGGAAUCUUCCACAAUGGACGCAAGUCUGAUGGAGCAACGCCGCGUGAGUGAAGAAGGCUUUCGGGUCGUAAAACUCUGUUGUUGGAGAAGAAUGGUCGGCAGAGUAACUGUUGCCGGCGUGACGGUAUCCAACCAGAAAGCCACGGCUAACUACGUGCCAGCAGCCGCGGUAAUACGUAGGUGGCAAGCGUUAUCCGGAUUUAUUGGGCGUAAAGCGAGCGCAGGCGGUUUUUUAAGUCUG